CAGUCGCCGCGGUAAUACGUAGGUGGCGAGCGUUGUCCGGAAUUAUUGGGCGUAAAGGGAGCGCAGGCGGACAUAUAAGUCCAUCUUAAAAGUGCGGGGCUCAACCCCGUGAGGGGAUGGAAACUGUAUGCCUUGUGUGCAGGAGAGGAAAGCGGAAUUCCCAGUGUAGCGGUGAAACGCGUAGAUAUUGGGAGGAACACCAGUGGCGAAGGCGGCUUUCUGGACUGCAACUGACGCUGAGGCUCGAAAGCCAGGGGAGCGAACGGGAUUAGAUACCCCCGUAGUCCCUGUCUCUUAUACC
This 301-nucleotide ribosomal RNA is filed under the name uncultured bacterium. RNAcentral's name for it is "partial 16S ribosomal RNA". It matches the Rfam family "Bacterial small subunit ribosomal RNA", at positions 509 to 808 of the family's 1533-position model. The record is from RNAcentral.